This 246-nucleotide ribosomal RNA is filed under the name uncultured Gardnerella sp. Its description in RNAcentral is "partial 16S ribosomal RNA". It matches the Rfam family "Bacterial small subunit ribosomal RNA", at positions 109 to 355 of the family's 1533-position model. Lineage: Bacteria; Bacillati; Actinomycetota; Actinomycetes; Bifidobacteriales; Bifidobacteriaceae. The record is from RNAcentral.
AGUAAUGCGUGACCAACCUGCCCCAUGCUCCAGAAUAGCUCUUGGAAACGGGUGGUAAUGCUGGAUGCUCCAACUUGACGCAUGUCUUGUUGGGAAAGUGUUUAGUGGCAUGGGAUGGGGUCGCGUCCUAUCAGCUUGUAGGCGGGGUAAUGGCCCACCUAGGCUUCGACGGGUAGCCGGCCUGAGAGGGCGGACGGCCACAUUGGGACUGAGAUGCGGCCCAGACUCCUACGGGAGGCAGCAGUC